This 1421-nucleotide ribosomal RNA is filed under the name Staphylococcus saprophyticus. RNAcentral describes it as "16S ribosomal RNA". It matches the Rfam family "Bacterial small subunit ribosomal RNA". Lineage: Bacteria; Bacillati; Bacillota; Bacilli; Caryophanales; Staphylococcaceae. The record is from RNAcentral.
AGUCGAGCGAACAGAUAAGGAGCUUGCUCCUUUGAAGUUAGCGGCGGACGGGUGAGUAACACGUGGGUAACCUACCUAUAAGACUGGGAUAACUUCGGGAAACCGGAGCUAAUACCGGAUAACAUUUAAAACCGCAUGGUUCUAAAGUGAAAGAUGGUUUUGCUAUCACUUAUAGAUGGACCCGCGCCGUAUUAGCUAGUUGGUAAGGUAACGGCUUACCAAGGCGACGAUACGUAGCCGACCUGAGAGGGUGAUCGGCCACACUGGAACUGAGACACGGUCCAAACUCCUACGGGAGGCAGCAGUAGGGAAUCUUCCGCAAUGGGCGAAAGCCUGACGGAGCAACGCCGCGUGAGUGAUGAAGGGUUUCGGCUCGUAAAACUCUGUUAUUAGGGAAGAACAAAUGUGUAAGUAACUGUGCACAUCUUGACGGUACCUAAUCAGAAAGCCACGGCUAACUACGUGCCAGCAGCCGCGGUAAUACGUAGGUGGCAAGCGUUAUCCGGAAUUAUUGGGCGUAAAGCGCGCGUAGGCGGUUUCUUAAGUCUGAUGUGAAAGCCCACGGCUCAACCGUGGAGGGUCAUUGGAAACUGGGAAACUUGAGUGCAGAAGAGGAGAGUGGAAUUCCAUGUGUAGCGGUGAAAUGCGCAGAGAUAUGGAGGAACACCAGUGGCGAAGGCGACUUUCUGGUCUGUAACUGACGCUGAUGUGCGAAAGCGUGGGGAUCAAACAGGAUUAGAUACCCUGGUAGUCCACGCCGUAAACGAUGAGUGCUAAGUGUUAGGGGGUUUCCGCCCCUUAGUGCUGCAGCUAACGCAUUAAGCACUCCGCCUGGGGAGUACGACCGCAAGGUUGAAACUCAAAGGAAUUGACGGGGACCCGCACAAGCGGUGGAGCAUGUGGUUUAAUUCGAAGCAACGCGAAGAACCUUACCAAAUCUUGACAUCCUUUGAAAACUCUAGAGAUAGAGCCUUCCCCUUCGGGGGACAAAGUGACAGGUGGUGCAUGGUUGUUGUCAGCUCGUGUCGUGAGAUGUUGGGUUAAGUCCCGCAACGAGCGCAACCCUUAAGUUUAGUUGCCAUCAUUAAGUUGGGCACUUUAGGUUGACUGCCGGUGACAAACCGGAGGAAGGUGGGGAUGACGUCAAAUCAUCAUGCCCCUUAUGAUUUGGGCUACACACGUGCUACAAUGGACAAUACAAAGGGCAGCUAAACCGCGAGGUCAUGCAAAUCCCAUAAAGUUGUUUUCAGUUCGGAUUGUAGUUUGCAACUUGACUACAUGAAGCUGGAAUCGCUAGUAAUCGUAGAUCAGCAUGGUACGGUGAAUACGUUCCCGGGUCUUGUACACACCGCCCGUCACACCACGAGAGUUUGUAACACCCGAAGCCGGUGGAGUAACCAUUUAUGAGCUAGCCGUCGAAG